This 77-nucleotide ribozyme is filed under the name Aedes aegypti (yellow fever mosquito). Its description in RNAcentral is "drz-agam-1 ribozyme". It matches the Rfam family "drz-agam-1 ribozyme". Lineage: Eukaryota; Metazoa; Arthropoda; Insecta; Diptera; Culicidae. The record is from Rfam by way of RNAcentral.
UGCCCAGCAACUCCUAUCGCUAUCUCCUCGCGGUACCAACCCCGGUGGGAACUUUGGAUGUAUGCUGACAGGGAAGG